RNAcentral lists this ribosomal RNA (432 nucleotides) under uncultured bacterium. RNAcentral describes it as "partial 16S ribosomal RNA". It matches the Rfam family "Bacterial small subunit ribosomal RNA", at positions 29 to 507 of the family's 1533-position model. The record is from RNAcentral.
ACGAACGCUGGCGGCAUGCCUAACCCAUGCAAGUCGCACGAGACCUUCGGGCCUAGUGGCGCACGGGUGCGUAACGCGUGGGAACCUGCCCUUAGGUUCGGAAUAACUCCCCGAAAGGGGUGCUAAUACCGGAUAAUGUCUUCGGACCAAAGAUUUAUCGCCUUUGGAUGGGCCCGCGUUGGAUUAGCUAGUUGGUAGGGUAAAAGCCUACCAAGGCGACGAUCCAUAGCUGGUCUGAGAGGAUGAUCAGCCACACUGGGACUGAGACACGGCCCAGACUCCUACGGGAGGCAGCAGUGGGGAAUAUUGGACAAUGGGCGAAAGCCUGAUCCAGCAAUGCCGCGUGAGUGAUGAAGGCCUUAGGGUUGUAAAGCUCUUUUACCCGGGAUGAUAAUGACAGUACCGGGAGAAUAAGCUCCGGCUAACUCCGUG